UUUUAGCCCAGAUUGCAAUGGAAAGCAUUUUGAAUCAACAAGCACAUUUUUCUUUUUUAAAAAAGCGACCAACGGAAGCUCUUUUUAAAAAAAUUUGAAAAAUAGCUUUUUGGGAAAAAAUCUUGAAAUGGAAAGCUGGAAAUUGC
Molecule: small RNA, 146 nt
Filed under: Flavobacterium dankookense
Lineage: Bacteria; Pseudomonadati; Bacteroidota; Flavobacteriia; Flavobacteriales; Flavobacteriaceae
Description: Flavobacterium sp. ARSA-19 Flavo-1 RNA
Rfam family: Flavo-1 RNA
Source: Rfam by way of RNAcentral